UACGAAGGGGGCUAGCGUUGUUCGGAUUUACUGGGCGUAAAGCGCGUGUAGGCGGACUGGAAAGUUGGGGGUGAAAUCCCGAGGCUCAACCUCGGAACUGCCUCCAAAACUUCCAGUCUGGACUCAAGCAGAGGCAAGUGGAAUUGCGAGUGUAGAGGUGAAAUUCGUAGAUAUUCGCAGGAACACCAGUGGCGAAGGCGACUUGCUGGGCUUGUAGUGACGCUGAGACGCGAAAGCGUGGGGAGCAAACAGGAUUAGAAACCCUUGUAGUCC
This 273-nucleotide ribosomal RNA is filed under the name uncultured prokaryote. Its description in RNAcentral is "partial 16S ribosomal RNA". It matches the Rfam family "Bacterial small subunit ribosomal RNA", at positions 524 to 796 of the family's 1533-position model. The record is from RNAcentral.